UCACUUACCUGGCGUAGGGCAUAGCACGAUCCACAAGGUGCUUGCCCCAGGCUGAGACCCUCCAUUGCACUUCGGUGAGGUUGACGCUUGCGAUUAUCCCAAACGUGGAUAACUCGGGCGCAAAAUUUUUUCCACGGGGCACAGCGUUCGCGCUUGCCCCUA
Molecule: small nuclear RNA, 162 nt
Organism: Folsomia candida
Lineage: Eukaryota; Metazoa; Arthropoda; Collembola; Entomobryomorpha; Isotomidae
Rfam family: U1 spliceosomal RNA
About the family: U1 is a small nuclear RNA (snRNA) component of the spliceosome (involved in pre-mRNA splicing). Its 5' end forms complementary base pairs with the 5' splice junction, thus defining the 5' donor site of an intron.
Source: Rfam